CUACGGGCGGCACCAGUGGGGAAUAUUGGACAAUGGGGGAAACCCUGAUCCAGCAAUGCCGCGUGUGUGAAGAAGGCCUGCGGGUUGUAAAGCACUUUCGGUUGGGAGGACUGCUUCUAGCACUAAUAUUGUUGGAAGUUGACGUUACCUUCAGAAGAAGCACCGGCUAACUCCGUGCCAGCAGCCGCGGUAAUACGGGGGGUGCAAGCGUUAAUCGGAAUUACUGGGCGUAAAGCGCGCGUAGGCGGCUAGAUCAGUCGGGUGUGAAAGCCCCGGGCUUAACCGGGGAACUGCAUCCGAUACUGUCUAGCUUGAGUACAGGAGAGGAGAGUGGAAUUCCACAUGUAGCGGUGAAAUGCGUAGAUAUGUGGAGGAACACCAAUGGCGAAGGCAGCUCUCUGGCCUGAUACUGACGCUGAGGUGCGAAAGCGUGGGGAGCAAACAGGAUUAGAUACCCGUGUAGUC
RNAcentral lists this ribosomal RNA (465 nucleotides) under uncultured bacterium. Its description in RNAcentral is "partial 16S ribosomal RNA". It matches the Rfam family "Bacterial small subunit ribosomal RNA", at positions 339 to 795 of the family's 1533-position model. The record is from RNAcentral.